RNAcentral lists this long non-coding RNA (2786 nucleotides) under Coffea arabica (coffee). RNAcentral describes it as "long non-coding RNA (CARA_LNC007125)". Lineage: Eukaryota; Viridiplantae; Streptophyta; Magnoliopsida; Gentianales; Rubiaceae. The record is from RNAcentral.
GAUAUCAAGUUGGAAAUCGUAUUCCGCGUCCUCGCAAUAUCCUAAAAACCAAAAUUUUGAAACUAUAAGUUUCUAUUCACUUUUUAAGCUUAUAAACAUUGAGGUAUAUCUAAUAUACUACUAGUUCACUUUCCCUUAGAAAAAUUAAGAGUCCCUUAGGUUAAAACUUUGACAAAAGUAGAAGAAAUGUUUCCUAUAGUUUUCCUGGGAAUACUUUUCUUAUAAAAGGGUAACUAUUAUUAUUUUCUUGAAAUAAGUCGAUAAACCUCUUAAUAUCAAUGUUAGAAAGUUAUUUUGAACAUUUCUCUAAAGUUACGGCUUUUGCAAAAAUUAUCCCUAAAAACCAUUUUUCCUAAAAUAAGGUUUCUUGCCGAGCAAGUUUCCCAGGCUUUUCACCAAAAUUAGUAAAACUCGUAUUUUGGAACCUUUUCUAUAGUGAAGUAGCCAAGAGCAAUACUUAAAGAAAAGAAAAGGGAUAAAAUAAGACUUAGGGUUUUCAAAAGCUAUAGAACUUAUUUACUAAAGCUAUCAAGGCUAGUUUGAACUUAAGGAAAUUAUCGGGUUGGAAAGUUUUAGGCAAAACACUAGAUAUGGAGUUUUAUAAUAUAAUACUAGCUGGAAAAAUAUUUUUGAUAAUUUGAUCACAGCUACUCGAGUUCACAAGGUCGAUACAACUUCCACAGCUCCGAUUCCGUUUCGAAAUCAUAAUAUGGAUCAAAAUAUGGCAAAAAUCACAUAGCAAAUUACUAAGGCUUCGUCAAUCAUUAGCCCUAGAUUUCAACAAAUGCAUUUCUGAUAAAAAUAAAAUGAACGACCAAGGCUUCAUUAAUCAUUAGCACUUGGUUUCAGCAAGCUCAUCAUAAGCAAAUAAAAAUAAAAGUAAGGCCUCCAAGACAUUCCAGCAAUUAACUUUCAUCACCCUGUAGUACUUAUAAAAUCAUUCAAAUGGCCAAGGGCUUCAUCAAUCAUUAGCCCUUGACAAAAUCAAUUACUUCCAACCACAAUUUAAUCAAGAAUUUAAACCACAAGUAAGCUAAAAUCUCAAUCCAAAACCCAAUUUCAAUUUCACAAAGAAACAGGACAUUCCUACCAAAACAAUCUACUUCAAGGAUUUACAGACAGCAGUACACAUGGAGGAAAAAUGCGAAAUUUCUACCGGACAAAGGCCUAUGAUUCUAUUUUCAAAUGCCACUGACGGCGCCUUAAACAUAUUUUCCUACACCAAGAUAUAAACAUUUUAUUGAGACUGGUCAGGGACAUCCGAAAAUCUGAAAUUUCAAUUUUUCACUUGUGAAAACUCCUUUUUCUCUUUUAACACUAAAAUGUUUUUAUUCAAACCAUCCAUACACUUCUUAUAGAACUUCAAAACAACAUAUUCCAAGCAUUUCCACCCAUCAUGAUUCAAGGAACAAUUUAAAAAUCAAGUUAAGGUUCUAACUCACCCUUUGGCUAUCACUUAAGAAUUUCCAACAUGUAUACCCCAACAUUUUCUGGUUCCAUUUUCAAUUUAUCAAAUAUUUCAUUGAUAACCAACUUACACAACUUACAACUUACAACUCCUCUGUAUUUCAAAACCAUUAUAUUCCAAGGAAAAAAAUCCAGAAAUAGUUUAAAAUCCAAAAGAAAACAAACUGAAAAUUCUGAUCAAACCUCUCGGCUAUUCCAGAAUUUUUUCAGCACUUAGGUGUUUAUAAAUCCAAUUUUUUCUCGGCUAAAACAUGGUUUUAGAUACCCAAAUUAGUCAUGAAAAAACUUAUCUAGCUAAUUAAUAUUUCCCAUUCAAAAUUUAACUUAAACAACAGCUGCAAAUCCCCAAAUUUUCCAUAAAUUUUGUACAGCUAGCUUCGGACAAACAUGCAUGCAACAGAUUGCAUUUCUAUUUUAUUUUUCUGGUUUAAACUAACUAAUUAGCUGCAUGCAGAGCCUAAUUAACUUGUUAUUAACCAUCUAAUCAUGGUUAUAAGUUUAAACAACAACAUCAACAACAACAACAUCAACAACAACAACAACAAAAUCGAACCAAGUUAGGCUGCAAUAAUCCAGCUAAGCUCUCAGUAGUUUCUAUACUAGCACAUAUCAGAAAUUCUUUUCUUAAAAAUCUCAUCCGGAUGCCUAACCCCCACAUGCAAGUUCUUAGAUGACUUAACCUUAUUGUUAUUAGUUGGUUAAACACCAAAUUGAGCUCAGAUUAUCGCAGGAAGUCAGAAAGAAAAUUACAAAUUUAAGCCAGUUCCUCGGCAGAAAUUUUCUUAACCAAACCAGAAAUUUUCUCUGCUUUAACACAUCAUCCGAAUGCACAAUUCAACAUGCAUGGUCUAAAUCUUCAAGUCUUCACUCAGCUAAAGGCACUUAGGUGUUCAGAUGCCACUGAAAAACACAAAUGGAGUUGCAUUAUCUCCUCAAAUUCUCGGUAGCAACAUUUUGACAAAACCGAAUUUUUUUUUCUAAUGGUUGGAUUUCAACAUCCGACUGCAUAAUCUGAACAUGCAAGCUUAGAUGUAGCUUGCUCAACUAAUAAUCAUCCUACUUAGACCAGAAAUUACCUCAGAUAGCAGCUAAUCCUUCACACGAAAUAUUCCAGAAAUUUCUUCCCUAGCUCUCGGCCAAGUGCAAUCGGUGGAUCCUGGCUCCUAAGUUGCGGCUGGAAUUGGUUGUGGCUGGUGGAUUUGAGGUCGGUUGGUUGGAGUUGGUGGGGAUGAAGGUGCAAAAUGGUGAAGCUUCCUGCAAAUCUCCUCCCUGGCUUCACUCCAACUCACGGCAGGACCAGAAAAUUUCUGGCAGCUCAC